AACGAACGCUGGCGGCAUGCCUAACACAUGCAAGUCGAACGAUCCCUUCGGGGAUAGUGGCGCACGGGUGCGUAACGCGUGGGAACCUGCCCUUAGGUUCGGAAUAACUCAGAGAAAUUUGAGCUAAUACCGGAUAAUGUCUUCGGACCAAAGAUUUAUCGCCUUUGGAUGGGCCCGCGUUGGAUUAGCUAGUUGGUGGGGUAAAGGCCUACCAAGGCGACGAUCCAUAGCUGGUCUGAGAGGAUGAUCAGCCACACUGGGACUGAGACACGGCCCAGACUCCUGCGGGAGGCAGCAGUGGGGAAUAUUGGACAAUGGGCGAAAGCCUGAUCCAGCAAUGCCGCGUGAGUGAUGAAGGCCUUAGGGUUGUAAAGCUCUUUUACCCGGGAUGAUAAUGACAGUACCGGGAGAAUAAGCCCCGGCUAACUCCGUG
This 433-nucleotide ribosomal RNA is filed under the name uncultured bacterium. Its description in RNAcentral is "partial 16S ribosomal RNA". It matches the Rfam family "Bacterial small subunit ribosomal RNA", at positions 29 to 507 of the family's 1533-position model. The record is from RNAcentral.